Molecule: small nuclear RNA, 22 nt
Filed under: Arabidopsis thaliana (thale cress)
Lineage: Eukaryota; Viridiplantae; Streptophyta; Magnoliopsida; Brassicales; Brassicaceae
Description: snRNA_14793
Source: RNAcentral
UCACAAUGAAAAGCUUUGCACU